RNAcentral lists this long non-coding RNA (926 nucleotides) under Homo sapiens (human). RNAcentral describes it as "non-protein coding LINC01518:8". Lineage: Eukaryota; Metazoa; Chordata; Mammalia; Primates; Hominidae. The record is from RNAcentral.
GCUGCGACGACAGCGACUGAAGCGCAGCUGGAGUGGUAAGAUGGCGGACGAGCAGCUGCAGCAGCUCCGUGCGGUGCUACAGGGGGAGGGGAAGGUGGUUUCUCCUGACACAAGCUGGAGGCCGGAGCCUGUGGCACCCUGGCUUGCCUCACUGAAGCUGGUGGCUGUGACAGGGACUGCACGGCUGCUGGAGUGGUAGAAAGGCAGCCCAGGAAGCCAUCAUUCUGUAGAAGGCAGUGACGGAACAGUACCAGCAGAAAUUGAAGGACCAGCAGAAGGGAUCAUGGCCAAAGUUGCAGUGUCCCCCCGCUCGUUGAAGAUGAGGAGUUCUCAGAGAGCGGGAUGUUUGUGACAUUCCUCAUGUCAGCUCUCGAGUCCAUGACUCUCACUCGGUCGUCCAGGCUGGAGUGCAGUGGCACCAUCUUGGCUCAUUGCAACAUCUGGCUCCCAGGUUCAAUCGAUUCUUCUGCCUCAGCCUUCUGAGUAGCUGGAAUUAACAGGUGUAUGCCAACUUAUCUGGCUAAUUUUGUUGUGUAUUUUUCUUUCAGUACAGACUGGGUUUCACCAUGUUGGCCAUGCUGGUCUUGAGCUCCUCACCUCAGGUGAUCCACAUGCCUCAGCCUCCUAAAGUGCUGGGAUUAUAGGCGUCAGCCACCGCUUCUGGCCUAGAUCAUUAACAUAUCACUAUGAUACUAAAAUUCCCUCUGCCAAAGAAAAUCUUGCCAUUUUGUGACAUGAGUUGUAUAAAGAUGUAUGUUUAUAUGCACUGAACCUGUGCACCUAGAGUUCCACCCUGCUCAUGCUAACGUUGUUCUCCCUCCCCGUACCUAGUUCUUAAAAACUCCAUGCCUUCCAUUUUUCAGGGAAAGGGUGUCUUUAGAGCAAGAACUCUUUUCUUCUCCAUCCCAGGCAGGGAAAAAACCCAC